RNAcentral lists this ribosomal RNA (587 nucleotides) under uncultured bacterium. RNAcentral's name for it is "bacterial SSU rRNA". It matches the Rfam family "Bacterial small subunit ribosomal RNA", at positions 338 to 916 of the family's 1533-position model. The record is from RNAcentral.
CCUACGGGAGGCAGCAGUGGGGAAUUUUGGACAAUGGGCGAAAGCCUGAUCCAGCAAUGCCGCGUGAGUGAAGAAGGCCUUCGGGUUGUAAAGCUCUUUUGUCAGGGAAGAAACGGUGAGGGCUAAUAUCCCUUGCUAAUGACGGUACCUGAAGAAUAAGCACCGGCUAACUACGUGCCAGCAGCCGCGGUAAUACGUAGGGUGCAAGCGUUAAUCGGAAUUACUGGGCGUAAAGCGUGCGCAGGCGGUUUUGUAAGUCUGUCGUGAAAUCCCCGGGCUCAACCUGGGAAUUGCGAUGGAGACUGCAAGGCUAGAAUCUGGCAGAGGGGGGGUAGAAUUCCACGUGUAGCAGUGAAAUGCGUAGAGAUGUGGAGGAACACCGAUGGCGAAGGCAGCCCCCUGGGUCAAGAUUGACGCUCAUGCACGAAAGCGUGGGGAGCAAACAGGAUUAGAUACCCUGGUAGUCCACGCCCUAAACGAUGUCUACUAGUUGUCGGGUUUUAAUUACUUGGUUAACGCAGCUAACGCGUGAAGUAGACCGCCUGGGGAGUACGGUCGCAAGAUUAAAACUCGAAAGGAAUUGACGG